GAGGGGAUAGCUCAGUGGUAGAGUGCACACUUAGUGGGCACAAGGUCCUGGGUUCAAUUCCCAGUACCUCCA
Molecule: transfer RNA, 72 nt
Organism: Camelus ferus (Wild Bactrian camel)
Lineage: Eukaryota; Metazoa; Chordata; Mammalia; Artiodactyla; Camelidae
Rfam family: tRNA
About the family: Transfer RNA (tRNA) molecules are approximately 80 nucleotides in length. Their secondary structure includes four short double-helical elements and three loops (D, anti-codon, and T loops). Further hydrogen bonds mediate the characteristic L-shaped molecular structure. tRNAs have two regions of fundamental functional importance: the anti-codon, which is responsible for specific mRNA codon recognition, and the 3' end, to which the tRNAs corresponding amino acid is attached (by aminoacyl-tRNA synthetases). tRNAs cope with the degeneracy of the genetic code in two manners: having more than one tRNA (with a specific anti-codon) for a particular amino acid; and 'wobble' base-pairing, i.e. permitting non-standard base-pairing at the 3rd anti-codon position.
Source: Rfam